Molecule: ribosomal RNA, 921 nt
Filed under: Panagrolaimus subelongatus
Lineage: Eukaryota; Metazoa; Nematoda; Chromadorea; Rhabditida; Panagrolaimidae
Description: SSU rRNA
Rfam family: Eukaryotic small subunit ribosomal RNA
Source: RNAcentral
AAAGAUUAAGCCAUGCAUGUCUAAGUACAUGUGUAUUUAACACGAAACCGCGUAUGGCUCAUUAUAACAGCUAAAAUUUACUUGAUUUUGACUUUUAUCCUACAUGGAUAACUGUGGUAAUUCUGGAGCUAAUACAUGCAUAAAAGAUGUUUCUUUAUUGAAACAUUGCGUAUAUUAGUAUUAAAACCAAGCAUUCUUCGGAAUGUUUUGUGUUGAAACUGAAUAUAUCUGCUGAUCGUAUGGUCUUGUACCGACGACAUGUCAUUCAAGUGUCUGAUCUAUCAACUUUCUAUAUAAGUAUAUAGUACUUAUAUGGUUUUGACGGAUAACGGGGUAUUAGGGUACGACUCCGGAGAAAAUGCCUGAGAAACGGCGUUUACAUCCGAGGAAGGCAGCAGGCGCGAAAAUUACCCACUCUCAGUACGAGGAGGUAGUGACGAGAAAUGACAAGAUCUAUUCCUUCGGGGAUGGAUCAUUGGAGUGGUUUGAUUUUAAAAUCAUUAAAGAGUAUCAAUGAGAGGGCAAGUCUGGUGCCAGCAGCCGCGGUAAUUCCAGUUCUCAUACUGCAUUGAAUUGUUGUUGCGGUUAAAAAGCUCGUAGUUGGAUCUGUACAUGAUAGGUUAGUUCAUCCUUUGGAUUGUAACUAAUACUAAAUGUUUUUUAUUAGAUUUUUUUAUAUUCGUAAGGAUAUAAAAUGUCUAAUGAGUCUACUUUGAAUAAAUCAGAGUGCUCAAAACAGGCGUAAGCUUGUAUGGUUUUGCAUGGAAUAAUAGAACAUGACUAUGGUUCAUGUUUUAUUGGUUUUACUUACCAUAGUAAUGAUUAAAAGGAACAAACGGGGGCAUCCGUAUCGCAGGGCGAGAGGUGAAAUUCGUGGACCCUUGCGAGACCAAACUACAGCCAAAGCAUUUGCCAAGAAUG